Molecule: small nuclear RNA, 194 nt
Filed under: Microbotryum lychnidis-dioicae p1A1 Lamole
Lineage: Eukaryota; Fungi; Basidiomycota; Microbotryomycetes; Microbotryales; Microbotryaceae
Description: U2 spliceosomal RNA
Rfam family: U2 spliceosomal RNA
About the family: U2 is a small nuclear RNA (snRNA) component of the spliceosome (involved in pre-mRNA splicing). Complementary binding between U2 snRNA (in an area lying towards the 5' end but 3' to hairpin I) and the branchpoint sequence (BPS) of the intron results the bulging out of an unpaired adenosine, on the BPS, which initiates a nucleophilic attack at the intronic 5' splice site, thus starting the first of two transesterification reactions that mediate splicing.
Source: Rfam by way of RNAcentral
ACCUUUUCUGGCCUUUUGGCUUAGAUCAAGUGUAGUAUCUGUUCUUAUCAGUUUUGAUUACUGAUAGUUGUUCAACGAACAACAUCCAAUCAAAUCUUAUCUUUCAUUGCCAGGGUGUGCAGUUCUGGGGCUUGCCCUCCUGCCUCCCAAGAUGUCCGUGCUAUCUCACUUCCAGCACGGUACGUCACUGGCGC